RNAcentral lists this ribosomal RNA (558 nucleotides) under Lactiplantibacillus pentosus. Its description in RNAcentral is "bacterial SSU rRNA". It matches the Rfam family "Bacterial small subunit ribosomal RNA", at positions 52 to 577 of the family's 1533-position model. The record is from RNAcentral. Lineage: Bacteria; Bacillati; Bacillota; Bacilli; Lactobacillales; Lactobacillaceae.
UAAUGCAGUCGAACGAACUCUGGUAUUGAUUGGUGCUUGCAUCAUGAUUUACAUUUGAGUGAGUGGCGAACUGGUGAGUAACACGUGGGAAACCUGCCCAGAAGCGGGGGAUAACACCUGGAAACAGAUGCUAAUACCGCAUAACAACUUGGACCGCAUGGUCCGAGUUUGAAAGAUGGCUUCGGCUAUCACUUUUGGAUGGUCCCGCGGCGUAUUAGCUAGAUGGUGGGGUAAUGGCUCACCAUGGCAAUGAUACGUAGCCGACCUGAGAGGGUAAUCGGCCACAUUGGGACUGAGACACGGCCCAAACUCCUACGGGAGGCAGCAGUAGGGAAUCUUCCACAAUGGACGAAAGUCUGAUGGAGCAACGCCGCGUGAGUGAAGAAGGGUUUCGGCUCGUAAAACUCUGUUGUUAAAGAAGAACAUAUCUGAGAGUAACUGUUCAGGUAUUGACGGUAUUUAACCAGAAAGCCACGGCUAACUACGUGCCAGCAGCCGCGGUAAUACGUAGGUGGCAAGCGUUGUCCGGAUUUAUUGGGCGUAAAGCGAGCGCAGGCG